CCGGCCUGCAGUUCCCCGUGGGCAGGAUCCACCGUCUCCUGAGGAAGGGUGGUGAUGAAGUUAGUGGUGGUGAUGAAGGUGGUGGUGGUGAUGAAGGUGAUGGUGGUGAUAAAGGUGGUGGUGAUAAAGGUGGUGGGGGUUAUGAAUGUGGUGGUGGUGAUGGUGGUGGUGAUCAAGAUUGCGGUGGUGAUGAAAGAAGUGUUGGUGGUGAAGGUGGUGGUGGUGAUUAACGUGGUGGUGGUGAUGAAGGUGGUGGGCAGCACUCCCUUCCGCAUUGUCAGUGAGCGAGCUUUGUCAUACACUCACACUCUCUUACUCUCUUCCACAGUUUCUAUUGCUCUCUAAAUCAUACUUGAAAUAAGAUACGAAACGGUAAUUGCAGAGAUUGACUUCACGCCUCCAAAAUAUGACAUUACGCCUCCAUAUUAUAUAGUUAAGGGACGCAUAUUUAAACUACUCCAACCGAUCUUUAAAUAACCUGACCUCUAACGAGGGGGCUUCGCCUCCCUCGACCCCCCCAGCAUUGUAACACUGCACUGUGACUACAGCAGAAAAUGCAUAACUGGCAACUUUGGCCCGUGGGUAACAGCUGAGCCAGGCGGGACCCGGUAGGAGUGCCGAAAUUGGUGGGCAGGAGUGUUUGUAGGGAGCACUAAUUUUAUGUGGAUUUUCGAAUAGUACGGAGGCCCUGGGUCCCUAACCCCCGUACUAUUUGAGGGACGACUGUAUAUAUAUAUAUAUAUAUAUAUAUAUAUAUAUAUAUAUAUAUAUAUAUAUAUAUAUAUAUAUAUAUAUAUAUAUAUAUAUAUAUAUAUAUAUAUAUAUAUAUAUAUAUAUAUAUAUAUAUAUAUAUAUAUAUAUAUAUAUAUAUAUAUAUAUAUAUAUAUAUAUAUAUCCACCUAAUUUAUUAAGUAUGAAACCACCUACAUCUUUAAUUAUGUUUAUCAUAGGCCACCAUCUCUACUCAUUCCUUUCAGUGCUUUCCUUCAUGUAUGAUUACAUCAAAGUUUACCGUAUCAUUCUCCUCAACCCUAUCUCCCUGCCCACCAUUAUGACUACAGUUUAGUGUUGAAUAAGAAUUGUUUUGCAACUCCAAUUACCUCUUCCUUGUUAUUCAUGACCUUGCUAUUUACAUCUAUUGGAACAAUGAACUAAUUUCUGCCAAUGCUUAAUCUUCCCUUGGCUUUUUCAGGCUUCUGCCAUUCUUCAGUUUCUUUAAUCUAUCUUGACCAACUUAAAUUUACAAAUACCUUCAAUCAUCCUCCAUGGUGAAGAGGUCAGCACACCUAACUAUAAAUCCAUGAGCCUGGGUUCAAAUCCCAGCCCAGGCAGUCAGCACACAGCCCACCCAACUGCUCAUCAUCCCUUUCAGGGUGGUCGAUAAAUGGGUACCCAGGGAAACCUCAGGAAACCUCAAAAGUAAACUGUGAUAAUCCAGGUGUUACAUUGGCCCUGUGUCCCAGGGUAAGGGGUCAUUACUGGCCACAUUCUCAAGGACUAAUGUGAGAGAUGAGCAUCGAGUGUGCGUGCAUGUGUGUGUAUGUGUGGGUGUUAGUGGUGCCCUUUUCCCCACAUCUUAAGAGUAUACCCAGAGUUUACAUCAUAAUGAAAGACAAACAUCUUUAUCAACCUAUACACCACAAUGUCACAAAGAGUACAAAAAUGGUUGAAAAGUUUAAGGUACAUAUAAUAAAACCUUUGUUAUUAUAACAUUUUGUAUUCAGUAGUCAGUCCACCCUUUCCAACUUUAUAGAUGAGCUUCUCUGAUAAAACUUACACAAAGAAAAUAGUACAUUGAAAUCUUUUAAGUCCAUGCACUAUUGUUUGGUGUCUGCAAGAAUUGUUUUGCUAAAGUAUUUGUCCCUUCUAAUGUAGAAGUUGAUCCAUUAGAAUGUCUAUGUCUACCUUUCCAUGUAGGCUACAGUGGAGCCCCGAGACUAGCAUUUUUCUAACUAGUGACUUCAAGUCUAGUGAUAGGAUAGAAAGAGUUCUGAGUUUCAUCACUAACAAUCAAAACCAUGGAACUAGUGAAAAUAUUCCCAUUGGCCAGAAAGAAUGGGUGGGUAAGUUGCAUCAAGAUGACUCUAGGAGACAUUGUGUGGGUAGUGGUACGGGAGUUCAGCUGACCUGUUGGCCACGCAACAUUGUGCAACAUUACGCAAUAGAGCUAACAAGUCUUGCAAAGAUGGCACUGAACGUCCUGCUGAAUUGGGCGGGGCAGGGGAGCGGGGCAGCGAAUGUUAACAAAACACUGAAAACAGACAUGCCUGUUCUAAGUGUGGACAAUGUCACCUCUUCUCCAUCUCCUUUCCUUCUACAAAUGUUUUGUUCAACUAUGGUUGAUGUUUCCCCUAAAGGGUCACCUAUAUGCGAGAAUAUUGUAUUGGGAUCAGCUGAUCCACUGUUCCAUUUGACUCAUCACCUGCUGUCCCCACUCAGCCCUAUCAACCCCAAGGACUUUACUGGGUUUAUGAUAGACUGUUGCAUAUCUGGUUGCACAGAAGGGCGGUGAUGGUGGUGGUGGCAAGGUGGGCUCUCGGUAAGCUGAUGCCCUCCCAACUUUUAACUUCUUUAUUCAACAGAGCACAUUAGGAGCAUUUAAUGGCGAGUUUUUUGUUGCCUCUGCCUAUUAGUGGUUGUGUGUAUGUAUAAAUGUAAGUUUAUUGUUAAAAGCAGAUGAGAUUGAUCAUAAAAAUGUCAACUUGAGAAGUUUGUCUCUUUAUUUUUUAGUAUUUAAGGUUUGCCUCCAAACAAGCAGUUUCACAACUAGUGUCAUUUUAUUCAAUCUCUUACUAUCAGGGCCCAAUUGUAUAGGGAAUUUCAGAAAAUGUAUAUGUGUAUUUCUCCACGUCUAGGUAGUGCAUGGAUGUGUCAGCUUAGCUGUGCCAUAUAUAGUGGCCCUCAAAAGAGAGGCGUUAGGCAAGUAAUAUUCAUAAUGAUUUUGUUCUACAGGUGAUAUUUUUCCUCCAGUGUCUGUACUUAUGCCAGCAGAUAAGAUGCAUUCCCCCCCUCCCCCCCAAAAAAAAGUCUUUGGCACAAAUCAAAGCAUCACACUAAUCCUAUAUGCACAAUUGCAUUUUGUAGAGCUGUUACAGUUAUUGCUAUAUGCUAUACGAUUGGGUUACAUUCCUUGAAAACUGAUCAUAAAGGUAUAUACCAUUAUAUACAGAUAGCACUAUAACAUUCCUAAUCACUCAAAAAUAAUGAAAAAAUGAUCAUAAAUGAGACCCCCAACAAACUUAAGAGAAUUUACUUGUAUAAUUAAUUAAAAGUAGCACUCAUUUUCCUUCACACUGAUGCUUUAAAAUACUUAUUUACAAUACCAAGCUUUUCUUUUGCCUUUUACCCUGAGUGCUGGUAGACUUGGAUGCCAUUAUUGAUAACAGGAGAUGGAUUAAAAAAACACUUUCUGGCUUGCAAAACACUAAGAAAAUUACUGGACAUGUACGACUGCAGACAGAGACAGAGCCUAGUAUGGAUGAUCUCAUCACCACUGUGAAUUCAUGAUCAUGUAAUUCUACUACCACUGUGGCAUUGUGAUCACACCACCAAUCACAGACAGAUCAUACAAUGAAUAUUAGAGGAUCAUACUGUAUAAAAAUUGUUAUGAAAAUUCUUACAUUGUUUAAAGUAUUGAUUGUAGGCUACAUUGAUCUGUUGUACAGUGAUGCUUGCCUGUAUCCAAAAGCCUUUGGUUUGGAAAAAAAAAAGCUAUGCACUUUAAGGGGGCCGGCCAUUUUUUACCCAUUUUUCUUUAUUCAAUGGGUUAUUGUCAUGAGUUAUAUACCAGACAUAAGGGACACCCUACGUAUAAGACUUAGCCCCCCCAAAAAAACAAUCUAUCACCUUUCCAUUUUUUAGCAAUGACAAUUUUUUGGAAAAUUUUAAGUUUUUUUGAAAAGGCUAUUUCUACUAUAUUAAUUGCUCUACAUGGGAACAAUUACUAAUGUACAAAAACCAUGUUUAGGCCAAUGAAAGUAUAGCGAGAUAUUGUAUCAAUAAUCAUUAGUUUGGGGAAUAUAUAUUUUCAAACUUUCAUGGUUAUAAUUUCCCCCUAAAAAUUCAGACAUAAAUACAUCAUAAUUCAAUCACUUCAUAUACAAGAAAACUCGCAAUAAUUUGAUUCUUACAAGUUUAGGCAUGGAUUUGGUGUUGGUUUCAUCAAAAUCGGUUGAAAAAUGGUGGAGAAAUUGAAAUGCAAAGGUACAUAACUUACAUUUUGAGAUAUGGCCCGGUAAAGUUUUGAAUGUGUAACAUUCAUACAUAGCGAAGUGAUAUUAUGGCAUUUAUCCUUUCAUUUAUUUGUAAUGAUAUAUAAAAAAUGUCUUCAUGUUCAGUCAUUAGUUUCUCAAAGGGCAUACGCAGCUGAGGAAUUUUUUUUCUCAGUUUUUCAAUUUUGACUGAUUUUCGUCGCUUUUGACCGGCCGGCCCCCUUAAAUGUCAAAAUAUCCCCAUACAUGGUGUUUCAUUAAUGAAACCGUUAUCCUUAUAAUGAUGCAAAGUUAUGAUUACUUCCAAGUAGAGAUGAUAAAUCAAAAUACUUUACUAUUAGAGUUAUGUAAAUUUAGCUACGUCUUUGUACUAAAAGUAAAAUGAUUGUAAACUUAUUGAAUUUAAGAUGUUUAAAGGGACCCACAUGAAACAACAAAAAGUAUAAGUAUAUUCUGCCACAAGUUAUUGUAUUAUAAACCAAUUUAUAAUUUUUAUUAAAAUAAAAAAAUGUUGCUAAUAAUGCAAAAACAUUUUU
Molecule: long non-coding RNA, 4747 nt
Organism: Eriocheir sinensis (Chinese mitten crab)
Lineage: Eukaryota; Metazoa; Arthropoda; Malacostraca; Decapoda; Varunidae
Exons: 2
Source: RefSeq, a predicted model, not a curated record